RNAcentral lists this long non-coding RNA (13222 nucleotides) under Chlamydomonas reinhardtii. RNAcentral's name for it is "long non-coding RNA (CREI_LNC000175)". Lineage: Eukaryota; Viridiplantae; Chlorophyta; Chlorophyceae; Chlamydomonadales; Chlamydomonadaceae. The record is from RNAcentral.
GGGCGCUGGACCAGGAAGCCCAUGAUCUGCACCUGCUUCUGGUUGUCGAAGGCCACCAGGCGCACGUAGGCAUCGGGGAAGGCCUUGGUGCAGGCGACGAUCUCGCGCAGCACCUGCAUGGGGUCGCGGCAGCCGAACAUGGGCAGCUUCCACAUGGUCCAGUAGCGGUUGUCGUAGUACAGCUGCGGGCGCACGGGAAAUGGGAGGGAGAAGAGGUUCAGUCACCAGCGCACAGAACCACCAAAGAUGGAAUUGGGCCCCUUGCUUUUCCGUGCUGAAGCACGAGCAGGGGUAUGCGUCAGUUCCCCGCGGUGAGAUAGGCGCUGUCCCGGUGCCAAGCUAACCCAGUGCCACAGUGGACCCGUCUGGCUCUCGCUCCGACUUACGCAAGACACGCUGCCGAAGCGGAUGGCCGACUCGUUGGACACGUAGGCCUUGUCGGCCUCAGCGAACUCCAGGCAGGGGAUCCAGCCUGCAAGCGACAGCACGAAGGGGGUAAGAUAAGUGGCCGACGCAAGCAGUCCAGGGCUAUCCCAGAUAAGGGCGGAUGACAGGCAAACUAUACAGCAGACAACGAACAAGCUAAUCUCAAGCUUCGAGCGAUCGUAAUGUCGCAGUCUGCAGCUACGCCCUAGAUCGUAUUAACUAGCUCUCAAACACAGCCCAGCUACAUAUGCCCACGGCACCAAGCCGUGCUCACCGUUGGCGACGAUGUAGUCGACCUGGGCGGCGAUCUGCUCGUCGGUCAGAGGAGGCAGGUAGGAGAAGGUCUCGAACAUCCUGCGAUCACGCGAUUGACCAGUACUCGUUAGAAGUGGCAGAGCACGUGCGAUGUGAGGCAGCAGGCUGGGCCCCAAGCAAUUGCGUCGCGACUUGCAGAAUCCCUAUCCUUCGGGCUGCGCUUGCUCGUCGACUCACUUGUUGUUGACCGGGGUCCAGACCAUCAUCUGGUUGGCCUGAGCCGGGGCAGCCACGGGGGCAGCCUUGACGGCGGGCUUCAGCGCGGCCAUGGGGCGCACGCUGGAGCGGGCCGGGCGAGCCACGGCCGCGGAGACGGAGGACUUGGCAAUGACGGCGGCCAUUUUAGAUGUUUGAGAAAGUGGUCGAAUGAACGAGUAAGUUCUUGGGACAAAGACUCGGAGGUGGCCGGUCGCCGUUUUCAAUCCCCGCUCGCCGAUGACCCGUACGGCAGGCUUAUCCGACUCGUCGGCUUUCACGACCGCCCGAGCCUGCGCGCUUCAUCCGCUUCCGGAUAGCUUGCUACGAUAAUGCAUUAUUCAAUUUUACGACGCAAUGUCAUGAGCAGCGCCGGGCGGGCUUAUUUACAUGCGUCGCCUCGCUCGCCGUUGACUUGAUACUUUGGAAAUUCGGGCUCGAUUCGUUGCUACAGCCUGCCUUUUGCACACAAUGUGAACGUCGAUUCUACAUUUGUAUGUGACUGAACUUCGCGGCCCCUACUGAACGUUUCGUGCAAGCGACAUGUCGACUCACAACUUGGAGGAACGCGCGAGGGGUCCCCACACGCACUUUCAGCCUGCUUUGGCGAAAUGGACAUGAUAGGUAUAGCCAGGAUAUGGGUCUGCUAGCUCGCCUGGUGUUUUGACCGUCGAUCGGUUUCGCGUUGGGCCUUGCGGCUGCUCGCUCGCCGCGGAUGCUUCCGCACACUGCGCGGCACGUGUUAGUCUGUGCACGACGACGGUUUGUUUGUAUUGCGCCGCCAACGUUCAACGGUGGUGGUAGGUUCGAAUGUCAGAAUGUCGGGCACGGGGACCUUGGGCGCAUUGCCUACAAGCGCGUGCCUGUGUUUUUGGGGGGCAGAGAAGUGAGCCUGCCUAUUGGGUCACAAUAGCACAGAGGCGGGUGGCCAGCGUCGGGAACUGGUUCAGAACGGCUGCAGGGACAGCACCGUGCGUGCGUGUGUGUGUGGGGGGAGCCUUCAAAGUUGACGAGCUUCGCAGCGCUGGGAUGGACUGGCAUUGCGUGCUUGAGUUUGCGUCCCGUGAGAACCCUGCAGUUUAUGGCGGAGACAGGGAAGAGGGAAUGGGAUCGCGCCGGUGCAGGGAAAGGGCACGAAUCUGAGGUUACGGUAUCUGGGGGGAGGUGCCCAUGUGGGAGGGGAAGCCUAACUGCCUGUCUGGGUGCAGACCAGGAAUGGCAACACGUGAACGGUUAGUAGAGAGCUGUGUGCUGUUGGGCGCUCUCGGCAAGGGGCGUGGGAGGGGGCUGGGUUGGUGGGCGGCUGUCCGCACAGUGCCUAGCAGUGCGCACUCAGGCCCUUCGCAGACCGAAGAGGGCGCCAGGGCCUAUGCGCGCGUGGCUUGGCGUGAGGUUCUUGCUGUUGGCGUCAGGCGCCGCAAAAGGCCGGGUGGCUCUGCAGUGUCCUGCUCGCUUGGCGUGCGGCAAAGUGGUUCAGUCAGCGAGCGCAGUGUAUGCGUGUGUGCGUGUAUGCGUGUGCGUGCGUGUGUGUGUGUGUGUGUGUGUGUGUGUGUGUGUGUGUGUGGUUGCUGCGGAGAGGGCACGCAGCGACACGAGAUUGCCAUGCAGUGGUGCAAGCUGCUGGGGUCGGGUAAACGGGGUGGGAAAGUUGGUGAUGGUGGAAUGUUCUUGUGGCACGAACUGGCCUUGUGCGUAUUCGUUCGCCCCGUUCACUCUGGUCCACCAAUCCCACAGUCACUGCACUUAAAUGCCUAAAAGCCCCUGCUACGGUGCGGACAGGGUAAGGCCACGGCAGGUCUAAGUCCAUAUGCGCCCGUAGAGGUUCGAGUGCGUUAACCGGUCGCAAGGUGUUCACAACAUGUUGAUGUGUUGACAACAUGGCUGUGGUCAAGACGUGCCCUGCGAACUUCCCGUGUUUACAUGUUAAUAGAGCUCGCUGACAGCAGUCAUUUGACACCAUUAUGGAAGAAAACAGAGGGGAUUUAGGGGGUGUACGGCACGGUAUGGCACGGUCGGUCGUCGGUCCGGGGGGUCGGGGGGUUCUGCAGGGUGGGGCCUGGAACUAUUGUUCGUACACCCCCGCCUGGCUCCCCUGCUCCCCCUGACUAACCCCUGACCUCUGGCUUUCUUCGCUUUCCUUUCAGUGUCACCAAUUCUCAUGAGUGGGGGCGCACCCCGAAAUAAGCGGGUACGGUGCUUCAGUUCAGUGCUUGCCACGGCCUCAAGAGCCCCAAACCACGUGCACCGAAAUUCGCUUGCACUCCAAAUGCACUGGGAAGCCAGUAGCAGCGCGCUCUCAAAUGCUGGCAUGUGUCUCUCUCUGUCCAGAGCCUGAAUGCGCCAAGUCUGCUACGGUAGGAGGGUGCAACCCGUGGCCCGCCUUGAACCGCGCUUGCACACACAGCUGGAUUGCUGCUGGCAUGACCGUGUGAAAGAGGUACAGGCAGCCGGGCAAGUCCCAGCGGGCAGGUUGGUGUAGGCUAUGCCCCAUAACAGGCCCGUGCAUGCUGCCACGGACUUCUCGCCAGGAAUGUAAGUCCCGAUGCUAGACAAUUACUCCAGCAGCUGCAUGCCGCCAUCUUCAGUACUCGGUAUCCCUUGGUGCACGCAAGUCAAGGAUCAGUCCCAGGGCUCACCCUGGAGCAAUGCAGCCUGCGUGUGCACCUGCGAUGGAGCCGCGGCCUGCGGUAUUGGCUGCCCGAUUACGAAGCUGCGGGUGGGGGCAGUUGGCACGCAUUCCGCCACAGACCCCGCGAGCCUAGCCGCACCCAAGCUCUAAGCGGCCUAGACCGUGACCAAAGGCGAAGAAGCCGCGGCCAUCCCUGCGCUCAGAUUGCAUUGGUUACAAGAGGGACCUGCUGACGCAGUUCAUGGCUUCAUGCGCUCAGAGCCCGAGCCCUGAGCGGCAGCAAAAGCAGAAGCCACGCUACGUGUGCUAGCUACGACCAAUGCCUUGUACAGCUCUCCUCGGCUGCGCUCUUCGGCUGCGCUCCUCGGCUGCGCGGGACAGGGGACUCCGUGCAACCACUAUUGCUUAUAGCCUGCACCAGUCAUUGACGAGUGUUGCGGAACUAAUGCGUACGUAGACCAGAGCGGAAGGCGGAGUGGGCUUGCAGGCGGCACGAGAGUAGGCAGUCAGUAGCGCAAGUUGCGAAUUCCCAUGUUACCUCGUAACCGACGGUAAACGCUGUGGACGGUCGCGCCCAUGGCUGGCUGACGGAAGCUGGCUGCGGUAUUGGGAUGGCUGGGCUGGAUGACGCCGGCCGGGCUGGCGUUGGGACUACCAGAAAGGAUGCGCCCGAAACCAACCUGGAGAACACCAGCGCCACCGGUGCCCAGCACGACAUGUAAGGGAGGGAGGGAGGGACAGGAGGCGUGAUGCACUGCAGCGUAGAAGCUGCAGUCAUGGGCACAGCUUGUACCAUACAGCACGGUCAUCAAGGACACAAUGCCGGAACGGCAUCAUACGAGGCGGGGUUGGGAGCUGCAGGAAGUGGGCAGCGGGGCAGAAUCAAAGGUUUGCAUCGUUUAGAACAGGUGCGGAACACGCGCCAGCGCCAGCGCGGAGGACCCCAAGUAAGGCCUUUACUCACCAAUGUACGUUUUGUACACCCAAUCUCGCCCCCUAUCGACGUUGGCACUAGGUAGCUGGCUAUCAUUCUAUGCAGAUUAAGCAAAGGGGCACCGGGAACAACUGACUCAUGUUCGUCACUGCAGGUUACUGCAAAUGCUGUCUCCACCUUUGCUGCACGGUUCCGUUUCGUCACGUUUGCUGGUGUUGCUACCCGCCGUUCUUUAGUGUGUAACUGAUCUGCGAACCGAGUCCCCUUCAGCUGAUGAACCCCGCAGCAACUUUUCCAAAAGCGCUUCAAAUACGCCCAGCCCGCCCAUGGAGAAAGAGGCCAAAAUCAACGGAGGAUCGUUACAACCAACAAAAUUGCAAAACUCCUCCGCUUUUUACGUGUUGAAAAAGACUGAUCAGCACGAAACGGGGAGCUAAGCUACCGCUUCAGCACUUGAGAGCAGUAUCUUCCAUCCACCGCCGUUCGUCAGGGGGCAAGGCUCAGAUCAACGAGCGCCUCCAUUUACACGGAGCGCUUGUUGGCGGGCUGCCAGUCGCGGGCAGACUUGGGGCGCUGGACCAGGAAGCCCAUGAUCUGCACCUGCUUCUGGUUGUCGAAGGCCACCAGGCGCACGUAGGCAUCGGGGAAGGCCUUGGUGCAGGCGACGAUCUCGCGCAGCACCUGCAUGGGGUCGCGGCAGCCGAACAUGGGCAGCUUCCACAUGGUCCAGUAGCGGUUGUCGUAGUACAGCUGCGGGCGCACGGGAAAUGGGAGGGAGAAGAGGUUCAGUCACCAGCGCACAGAACCACCAAAGAUGGAAUUGGGCCCCUUGCUUUUCCGUGCUGAAGCACGAGCAGGGGUAUGCGUCAGUUCCCCGCGGUGAGAUAGGCGCUGUCCCGGUGCCAAGCUAACCAGUGCCACAGUGGACCCGUGUGCCAAAAGCUAACCCAGUGCCACAGUGGACCCGUCGGGCUCUCGCCAGACUUACGCAAGACACGCUGCCGAAGCGGAUGGCCGACUCGUUGGACACGUAGGCCUUGUCCGACUCAGCGAACUCCAGGCAGGGGAUCCAGCCUGCAAGCAAGGGGAUGAAGGGUGCCGCGAAGGGUGAACGAGGGACAAAGACACGGACAGGAACCGGAUAAGGGGCGGCUUGACCAAGAACUCACGCUCCGACCGCUACUUCGGCAACCCAAAUAAGUGAUUCCACGCUAUGGCUCUGUCGCUGUCGUAUAGCCCGGCUGGUAGCAGCUGGAAAGCUCAAGUGAGGCUGGACAAGCCGCGCUGGCAUGAGUGCAAGCUGUUUGCCCAAGAAAAAGCCGCCGAAAGCCCAGGCUGACUGCAGAUUCCUGACUUGGGCACUGUUCGUUGCUGGAGUGUUGCUCGCAACCCCGCAAGCUCACCGUUGGCGACAAUGUAGUCGACCUGGGCGGCGAUCUGCUCGUCGCUCAGGGGGGGCAGGUAGGAGAAGGUCUCGAACAUCCUGCAAAUGGAAACGGCGACGCAGGGUUAGAUGCUGCUUGAGACAGCGACAGAGGAGCCAAAAGCCUUCGUCGACACAAUGCGGGCGUUGCAAGUCAAAUCUGCAAGCACGCUGCCUGAUCCGCCGGGCUUGCUCGUCGACUCACUUGUUGUUGACCGGGGUCCAGACCAUCAUCUGGUUGGCCUGAGCCGGGGCAGCCACGGGGGCGGCCUUGACGGCGGGCUUCAGCGCGGCCAUGGGGCGCACGCUGGAGCGGGCCGGGCGGGCCACGGCCGCGGAGACGGAGGACUUGGCAAUGACGGCGGCCAUUUUAAGAUGUUGAGUGACUUCUCUUGUAAAAAAGUAAAGAACAUAGGCCCCCUGGCCGGUUUAUCAGGAGGGCACCGCUCCAGGGGCUGCAUGCGAACUGCUUGCAUUGGCGCCUAGCCUUUGUGGGCCAGGGGGCUUCCGGAUAAGGGUUGCAAGUGCUCAAAUACCCCAUCAAACAUCAUCCUGGUUUGGCUGCGCUCCUUCUGGCGCGCCCGGGAAGCCGGGCUUGCACGCAGAGUGAGGAUGCGGCACGGGUGCACGCGCACGAUAGUCACUUUGCAUUCUCAGGACGUUCGCGACGCUAUUAAGGCUGGGUUUUAUCAAAACUAACGAGCUCGGCCACGCGGGCGAGUUCAAACCGUGGCGUGACACAACUAAUAUACGCCCCCGUCGCGGCGGCCCCGGCUGGCGCGCAAAGCAUGCCAAUUACCUUCAUCUGUCACGAAGUAUCAUAGGACGGCAGGCGGGGCAUCUGGGCCGCUCUCGCGGUGUUGCUAGGAAACAGACAAUGUUCCUGCCGUUUGUCCAGUUUUUCGUCGUUUCUGGCGCCGUGUCGCCUCUAAGAGGUAUGUGGAAGAGUUUUACCUGGCUCGCGUCGAAUGUAUAGACCCGUGCGCCGGCGCAUGCGGCGAUCCGGGUUGUGCCGACGGUCGCGGCUUGCUUGACGUGGGCUGCGUAGUUCACCACUCCCCUGGGGCACUGGGUUCAUCAUCAUUUGUACACACUGAGACAGUGCGGUACUACCAUCGUGCAGGGGACUCCGAAGUUCGGUCCACCAAUCCACCAAUGGCGCUAGGACGGGACUUGACGGGAUCGGCGUAGGACGGUGGAACGGGUGCGGUUUGCGUAAUGCAUCAGGGGGGGUCGUGACAGAGGCACGAGAGCUCCCGUCAUGCAGAACGCCGUGGAGAGCCGCUGAGGGGUUUGGAAAGGUGAAAGGGGGGGUCCUAACGGGUCCUAUGACUCGCGGUGGGUUUCUUGCAAUCAUGUCAGGUAAGCGUCGGACCCCUGCAUAAUGCAAAUUACUUUGCGUCUGUUAUACCUAAGGCAGCAAUGCACGGUGGCGGUGGGUGGUGAUCCCUUGGUCGUUCAGACUUCCGACUGCACCCUACAAAAGGACUGAACGCACAGGGAUUGGAUCCUAGGGGUGACCGCACAGGGACCUGGACCCCGCCUACCGGCGCGCGCUGGUGCUGCGUGAGCUGCUGGGCUACCCCGCCGACGUCCCGUGCCGAAGCGGCCCACCUGUACCCACCGCCGCCGGGGAAGUGACAUGGGUUAGCAACCCGGCCUAUCCACUUUGGGUCGGGGCAGCGGCGGGGCAGGGCGGGGCAGGGUGCCGACGUGCUGUGACCUGCGGGACGGCGUGUCACAAAGCGUGUGCGAGAACGGCAAGGGAAGGGGCGAACCCAGGCGCGGCCUGGACGCGUAGACAGAACUGCAGGUGCAGGCGGGCGCUUGGCGGCACCCCAGGGGGACACACGUCAUGACGUCACGACCUGCACCCAACGCGUACGCGUCCCUCCAAUGCUAGGCCGCGCCGGCGCGAGUGUCGCCCUACUGUCACCGUGUGGGACGUGGCCGUGCAACAAUGUCUCUGCGUCUCGCCACGAGCAAGUGUUCACACAUUGCGCUUCAGUGCCUUGCCAGCCCGAGCACCCGCAGUACCCAAUGCCGCCGUGUCCCGACUCCACGAUGGGGGCCAGGACAGUCUGGCCUGACCAGGCGUGCUGCCUCUCCUACCGUAGCCUACCCCGGCGCGGCGGCCGUGCUGACCAUGGGUCCCACACUACCAACUCCAUGCCGACUCGGAUGUGAACGCUAGCUGGUGUUCGGGUGCGAAUGUGCAAUUGUGCGCAGCGCCCUGCAUCCCCCGCGGCACGGGCCCCCGUGUCAGGGCCCCGCCGCCCGGUGACGUACAGAAGGCAGGGCAGAGGUCCGGGCAUGUGGGCUUCUAGGAACUUCGAAACACCACCGCUGGUCACCUUCCUGCAGAUGCGCUGCGGCUCUGCAUCGCGAGUGUGGCGUUGCGGUGUGUCUGUGUGGUGCUAUCGCCUGGCGCCGGAGCGUGAGGAAUGCGCGUCAGCAAACUUCCAGCCAGCCAGCAACUUGUCGGUACUGUAAGAGCAUCCGUCAGCAAAAGUAACUCUGGCGUUCGACCAGCCGCGCACUCCUGCCCUGCCGUUGCAAAUUGUUUGCCAUCUGCUGGGAAUCAGCUGCAUCCUACGGGACUUCACCAACCUGCCUUAACACUGUCCCAUCGCACACCCCGACCAUGCCAUGUUGACGUUCCACCCAUGCGUUACACCGUACUUGUACAGUACGGUAUGAGGGCACGCUCUGGAUAAGCUCCUUGACCCGGCAGCCGACAAGACCAUGUGACACUUUGCAUGGACUCCACAUUUCUGCUGACGGCUUCUGCCUGUGCCACGGGAGGGGCCACAUUCGAAUGUAUUCUAGCGUCCUUUGCGCUUCAUGAUCACGCACCAUACAUGACCGUGCCGAACCGUUAUCCGCAAGCCGCCAAAAAGGAAGUCGCCUUGGGAUUAUGAAUGCGACAUUACAAGAAGGCACAGUCCGUCCAAGCAUGGGUGCCCAGCCCAGCGUGCCAGCCCAGGGAUUAUGCCUUUUCUUCUCUCAGUUUGCAUCAAGGACCCAAUCACGCUGACGCAUCCUGACGCAUUCACCGCCGGAACGCUCCCAGCAGGUUAAACGCGCGCUCCUUCUUGGAAGCGGUCUCCUGCUCCGGCUCCACCUCCUCCUCGGGCUCCUCCUGCACCUCCUCCACCGGCUGCUGCUUGCGGCCCAGCAGACCGCCGAACAACUGCUGCUUGGCGCCGUUUCCGUUUCCGUUGGUAUUUCCGUUUCCGUUUCCGUUGGCGGCCUUGGCGGGCGCGGCCUUUCCGUUACCGUUACCGUUGGCCCUGCCGUUGGAAGCGCUGCCCCUUUGACGGCGGGCUUCAGCGCGGCCAUGGGGCGCACGCUGGAGCGGGCCGGGCGGGCCACGGCCGCGGAGACGGAGGACUUGGCAAUGACGGCGGCCAUUUUAAGAUGUUGAGUGACUUCUCUUGUAAAAAAGUAAAGAACGUAGGCCCCCUGGCCGGUUUAUCAGGAGGGCACCGCUCCAGGGGCUGCAUGCGAACUGCUUGCAUUGGCGCCUAGCCUUUGUGGGCCAGGAGGCUUCCGGAUAAGGGUUGCAAGUGCUCAAAUACCCCAUUAAACAUCAUCCUGGUUUGGCUGCGCUCCUUCUGGCGCGCCCGGGAAGCCGGGCUUGCACGCAGAGCGAGGAUGCGGCACCGGUGCACACGCACGAUAGUCACUUCGCAUUCUCAGGACACCUGCGACGGGUGCGGUUUGCGUAUUGCGUCAGUGGGGGGUCGUGACAGAGGCGCGAGAGGUCCUGUCAUGGCAGAACGCCAUGGAGAGCGGCUGAGAUGGUUCAGGAAGAAGACAAGGGGUGUCAGCUUUGUACAGCUGGAAAAUGGGCUGAGCCCCAUGUAGCGCAAGGGGAUGUGACGAUGGGCACCGGCGACAUGAACAGCACCCUUGCAAGCCCAUCCAGCGGGACUGGCCACUAUGCCAACGCCGUGCCGAGGCACCGACAUGCCCUGUCCCCGCCACGCCACGCCACCUUACCCACGCCACUUCACGGUCCAUGAUAUCCCAAAUGCAUCUCACCCACAUCCCACUCAAGCACCGCAAACGGCUAGCCGGGCUCGGGCGCGGGAUCCCGGGCCGCGACACAUGUAAGGCUCGGGGACGCAUGGUUUGGCUGUUGCAAACAAUUUCGACAUUCUUGCCCCAAGACGCUUGUCGUCGACAUGUUUUGAUACAUGGAUGUAAGAUAUUUAGGGGCCGAGAGCUAUACUCGUGAACUGAAGAAAGUCAAGAUGUCCAUGGACUCACGAGGUCGCUUCUCGCUCCGGCCGAGUUUUCCCUGCCGUCUAUUUUUCUACAAUAGGUAAUUGCAAUUAAUAAUACGUGGCCCGCGUUUGUGCCAGUAUGGUACUUUUUGUCGACACAGGCACACACGCACGCACGGACAGGGGCAAUCCUGGGGGGCUUCGCCCCCCCUGGAUCGCUUCGCUCAGGGGGCUCAGCCCAAAAAGGCAGUCCUAUGAGCAGCGGUGGGUUGUCUCUGCCUGCAAUCGUGUCCGUCUCGCGUCGGACCCCUGCAUAAUGAAAGUACUCUGCGCCUGUUAUACCUGGGGCAUUCAUGUGCGGUGGCAGUGGGUGGUGAAAGGUGAGGCUGGAGCUAGCGCUGCUUUGCCCCUUGGUGAUCCCUUUGUGGUGUGAACUUCCAACUGCACCAAACCAAAGGACUGAACGCACAGGAAUCGGAUCCUAGGCGUGACCAAAGUGGAGAGGGCGGGUUGCUAACGCAUGCCACUCCCCCGGCAGCGGUGGUUACAGGUGGGCCGCUUCGGCACGGGUCGGCACGGGUCAGGGCACGAGCAAUUGUUCACACAUUGCGCUUCAGUGCCUUGCCAGCCCGAGCACCCGCAGUACCCAAUGCCGCCGUGUCCCGACUCCGCGAUGGGGGCCAGGACAGUCUGGCUUGACCAGGCGUGCUGCCUCUCCUACCGUAGCCUACCCCGGCGCGGCGGCCGUGCUGACGACCACAACUGCCCUGACCAUGGUCCCACACUUCCACUCCAUGCCGACUCUGACGUGGACGCUGGUGUUCGGGUGCGAAUGUGCAAUUGUGCGCAGCGCCCUGCAUCCCCCGCGGCACGUACGGACCCCCGUGUCAGGGCGCCGCCGCCCGGUGACGUACAGAAGCCAGGGCAGAGGUUCCGGGCUGCCGGGCCCGGACCAGGCUUGCGGGCGGUCAGAACCUUCAGAGCACCACGUGUAUGCCAAAUGCCUGCACAUUGCGCGUAAUUGCCCGUCAAGUGUUUUGCUACCUGCCUGCCUCUUGCUUUGCCUGGGUCCACCCACCCCGCAUAGCACGCAUGACCCAUGCCGCAUGCAGUACGACCGGGAUGAGCCAUGCAGCCACUGCGCUGUCUCUAUCUGUCCGGCCGCCCGGCGCGCGGAGUUGUCUGCCUUUCUUUUUGGCGUAGUGUUUACAUCAGCUUCCCCUACGCCGCCUUAGGUCACCUCGUGCAACUCGGCCCGCCUUGCAGCCAGCAGCCGCGCUCCCGCGCGCUCCGAGCUGCAUUUGUCUACUGCCACUGUUGCCUCCCCGCUUCCUGCCGCUGUUGGUUCCGCCCUCUCUUCCUCACUCCGUUCCUUCCACACAUAUGCUGCUGGGCGCCAGUGGCGCUGGUGUCUCCCGGUUGGUUUCGGACAGCUCGUAUUCUGGCGUCUCCGGCGCCUUCAUUCGCGGCCGCUCCUGAUCCAGGCUCGCCAUGCCAUGCGUUACACCGUACUGUAUGCCUGUGAGUGCUCGCCCUCGUAUCACGGAAUGCUCUCUUGGGAUGCGCUCUCCCUUCUUUGUGUGUCCGUCCAUGCAGCCAGUAAAAUCAUUGGGCUCAGGGCUGGGCCAAAGCAGUACAGUUGCGCCAGCCCCGCCACUCGCCAUCAGAGUCUCUGUUUCUUCCUGAUGCGCCCAUGCUCAAUUGCUCAUAUGCUGCCGGGUUGGCAACUGUGCACGAAGUACGCAAGCUUUGUACAGGGCUCCCUCCGUUCCUAACGAGCGUCAUGAGAACUGGCCUGCAUCCAUACCUCCAUGAUAUUUAUCCCAGUUGGCUCCUGUAAACUCACUCGUGGCCGCAUUCAAAAUGCGCAGAUCCCAACUAUCAAACACCAAGGAACCCCUCUACCUAAAGGCGUGCGCCACAAUCCGCCGGGAACCUCGUGCCACUCUUUUAUAUGCGUCCCCACUCCCUCUGUCUGUGCCUUGUGAACCUGCCCAGUUCAAUUGCCGCACUUGGCAUGCCGCAGUCCUCAUUGUGUACUGUGCCCUUGAAACUUCGCCGCUGCUUGACAGGCGCGCGGCAUUCGCUUUGCCCUGGCCCGUACCACACUCUGCCGUACCUAGUCGGCCGCAGUCGGCGGGAUCUGCGCAUAGAUGGCGUAUCUAUCCGAUCGCAAUGGAGCUCUUCAUGUUGCACAACGUUAUCUUCACAAUUGCGCAAGGCUUACGGACAAGGUCCCCCUUAUGCCUCAUCAGCAGCAUGCGCCAGCACGCCUGGUGCCAUACCCAUCCAUCAGGCUACAGCGCCAAAGAAAUACCACGCAAGUGUGAAACCAACAAACACUUUUGACUUGCUUCAUAAACAAAGCUCAAUGCUUGCCGCAGCGGCGGCGUGAUCCCCACAGGUCAACCCAGCGCUCCAUCCUGCGACCGCCUACUCAUGUGCCUACUUCCAGCCCCCUCCGGAACUUACGGGCACCUCACGGGCACCUAGACGUCAGCCAACCCGCCUGCUUUGAAAGCUGUAGCCUGAAACAACCACAUUGUAGCAUUCUCAUAGGAAGCUUGAGGGGCUGGCGCUACAGUAUGAGGGCGCCGCACGCUCUGGAUAAGCUUCCGUGACCCGUCAGUCGACAUUACCAUGCGACACUUUGCAUGGACUAAAUAUUUCUGCUGACGGCUUCUGCUGCACACUCAAAAUGUAUUCUGACGUCAUAUGCGCAUCAUGAUCACGCACCACACACGACCGUGCCGCACCGUUAUUCGCAAAGCCGCGAAAAAAGAAGUCGCUUUUGGAGUUAUGCUUUUUCUUCUCUCAGUUUGCAUUGAGGUCCGAUCGCGCUGAUGCAUUUACCGCCGAAAGACUCCCAGCAGGUUAAACGCGCGCUCCUUCUUGGAAGCGGUCUCCUGCUCCGGCUCCACCUCCUCCUCGGGCUCCUCCUGCACCUCCUCCACCGGCUGCUGCUUGCGGCCCAGCAGACCGCCGAACAACUGCUGCUUGGCACCGUUUCCGUUUCCGUUGGUGUUUCCAUUACCGCUUCCGUUUCCGUUGGCAGCCUUGGCGGGCGC